UACGUAGGGGGCAAGCGUUGUCCGGAUUUAUUGGGCGUAAAGCGCUCGCAGGUGGUUCGUCGCGUCGUGCGUGAAAGACCCCGGCUCAACUGGGGAGUGUUGUGCGAUACGGGCGAACUGGAGGCCAGUAGGGGGAUGCGGAAUUCCGGGUGUAGUGGUGGAAUGCGUAGAGAUCCGGAGGAACACCAGCGGCGAAGGCGGCAUCCUGGACUGGUCCUGACACUCAUGAGCGAAAGCGUGGGGAGCGAUCCGG
This 253-nucleotide ribosomal RNA is filed under the name uncultured bacterium. Its description in RNAcentral is "partial 16S ribosomal RNA". It matches the Rfam family "Bacterial small subunit ribosomal RNA", at positions 524 to 776 of the family's 1533-position model. The record is from RNAcentral.